CUCUCGGGUGACGAGCGGCGGACGGGUGAGUAAUGUCUGGGAAACUGCCUGAUGGAGGGGGAUAACUACUGGAAACGGUAGCUAAUACCGCAUAACGUCGCAAGACCAAAGUGGGGGACCUUCGGGCCUCAUGCCAUCAGAUGUGCCCAGAUGGGAUUAGCUGGUAGGUGGGGUAACGGCUCACCUAGGCGACGAUCCCUAGCUGGUCUGAGAGGAUGACCAGCCACACUGGAACUGAGACACGGUCCAGACUCCUACGGGAGGCAGCAGUGGGGAAUAUUGCACAAUGGGCGCAAGCCUGAUGCAGCCAUGCCGCGUGUGUGAAGAAGGCCUUCGGGUUGUAAAGCACUUUCAGCGGGGAGGAAGGCGGUAAGGUUAAUAACCUUGUCGAUUGACGUUACCCGCAGAAGAAGCACCGGCUAACUCCGUGCCAGCAGCCGCGGUAAUACGGAGGGUGCAAGCGUUAAUCGGAAUUACUGGGCGUAAAGCGCACGCAGGCGGUCUGUCAAGUCGGAUGUGAAAUCCCCGGGCUCAACCUGGGAACUGCAUUCGAAACUGGCAGGCUAGAGUCUUGUAGAGGGGGGUAGAAUUCCAGGUGUAGCGGUGAAAUGCGUAGAGAUCUGGAGGGAAUACCGGGUGGCGAAAGGCGGCCCCCUGGACAAAGACUGACGCUCAGGUGCGAAAGCGUGG
This 690-nucleotide ribosomal RNA is filed under the name Klebsiella variicola. Its description in RNAcentral is "bacterial SSU rRNA". It matches the Rfam family "Bacterial small subunit ribosomal RNA", at positions 81 to 764 of the family's 1533-position model. Lineage: Bacteria; Pseudomonadati; Pseudomonadota; Gammaproteobacteria; Enterobacterales; Enterobacteriaceae. The record is from RNAcentral.